Small nucleolar RNA from Passer domesticus (house sparrow), 79 nucleotides. Lineage: Eukaryota; Metazoa; Chordata; Aves; Passeriformes; Passeridae. The record is from RefSeq and is a predicted model, not a curated record.
CCGCGCGGUGAUGAGCCGCUGUCGGCCCUCGAGUUUAACGACCAUGAGAGGAGCCACAUGCACUACCAGCUGAGCGCGG